Molecule: long non-coding RNA, 3544 nt
Filed under: Mytilus galloprovincialis (Mediterranean mussel)
Lineage: Eukaryota; Metazoa; Mollusca; Bivalvia; Mytilida; Mytilidae
Source: RNAcentral
AGAAGUUAACGUUCAGGCGAUUCAAAUUCAUUUAACGUAAAAGAGUAGAAAGAAAUACCCUUGUUUAUAUGAGAAUCAUAAAAUAAUGCCUUAAAACUUUAACCUUCAAAAGAUAAAAGUACAUAAAAAAAUCUGUAAAAAGAGGUUGGUUGUUUAAAGACUAUAAAUAAAAAAGAAGCAGAAAAUCUCGAGAUACGACAGUGUCCUAUAAGGAAUAAAUAUAGAUGAAAUAAAUAAAGAGAAAUUUAAAGAGAAAUGCACGUGUAAAAAAGAAUAAAAUGUUGGUUGAUUGUGAAAGUUUUUAAUGGUUCUAUAGCGAUUACGAUAAAAUGUUGAGUAAAACAUAUGUUUUAAGGUUCCCGUAUGUAAGAAUUUAAUGUAGUUUAAUCAUAAGAAUUAGAUGUCAGGAUCAGACCUAAUUAAGUGCUAAAUGUGUUGACCUAGCUAGUCAUCAUGUAAAACCUUGAUUAUAGCAAACAUAAUGUAUUCUAGCAUAAGCAAAUCAUUAACCAUAAUGUAAAAUCUUAACUGUAAUCAAAUGUUUUAGAAAACUAUCCAUUGUAAAACAAACAACAAAUCCGACUAAAGAAAUAUAAAAGAAAAUGAGGGUAUGACUUGCGGUAGUUCUGGAGUCGGAGCAAAGUACCCAGGAAAAUGAGCAUACUCCAGAGAGAGGAAAUGACUCGGGUAUAUUUGGAGUUCGAGCAGACUACCAAGAAAAGCGGGCUUACCACAUAUAUGAAAAUAGAGAAACGAUAAUAAUAAUGAUAAUAAAAAAAAAACCACCAACGCUCUUACUAUAAAGAUGAAGAGAUCGAAAAAUGUAAAAUAUUAAAGAAUAAAAUUGUUUUAUUAAUAAGAAAAAUAAGAAUAAGAAUAUCUAAAACGCAAUAAGUCAUCUUGGUCAUAACAACUUGAAUAACCAAAACAUCUAAUAUAAACUGAUCAUAAGCCACAAAGUCAAAUAGUCAAAUCCAGUUAAGAGAAUAUUUAAAAAAAAAGUUUUUUAAAAUUUAAACAAGUUUUAAAAGAAAUAAAUUCGAAUGUAAAAUUGCGGAGCAAUUUCUUCGAACAACAGGGAUAUAUAAUGAAGGUAAAAUGAGGUAAAAUAUUACAAGAAAUAAAUUUUAAUAUUUCAUAUAAAACUAAGUGAAUCUUCUUUGUAAUUGUAGAAAAUAACUAAUUCUUGUAUAAAGCUUUUUGUAUAAAAAGAUAUAAUUAGAAAGUCUAUAAUGUUAUGUAACUUUUAAUAUAUAAGUAUUAGAUGAUCAUGUGAAAUUCUUCCUAUUUGACACUUAGCGAUAUAAAUAAGGUUUGACAGCUUAAACUCUUAGAAGUAUUUCCUUUAGCAAAUAUAUCUAAUUCUUUUCUAUUGUUCACCUAGAAUUCUAUCUAACCAAAUAAUCGGAUUUCCCUAAUGGUCGUAAAAACAAAGUAUUAAGUAAUUAAAAAUAGUAACCCCAAAUUAUGUAAAAAUGUAAAUUAGAUUUAAAAGAGAUCUAACCAAUAGAAACGUGUUUUUAUAAAAAUAUGUAUUCUAAAAGUCAUUUUGAUUGGUGAAUAAAACAAGUCCAACCAGCACGUGUUCUUAGGGGUUUAAAAUAGGAAACCCUAAGGAAUCAAACAUUAAUUUACUCGUAUGGUUGGACUCGAAAUAAACAUAUAUAGACAUCUUUGUUUUAUUCACCAGGUUCGUAAACUUACAAAUUUUAUUUAAUGAAAAACAUAACGUAACCUUAAUAAUCUUUUAAUGUAACAGUUUAUAACAGAAAUCUUUCUUAAUUAAAGUUACCAUACAUAUAAUGAUAAACUAUUUUAAUUAAUUGAUAAAGUAUUUUGAUAAUUAUUAAUUCAAGUUCAUUUUAAGAAUCAAACUCUUUUAUUUCAUAUUUAUGUAUUUGAUUAAUUUACUCGUAUGGUUGGACUCGAAAUAAACAUAUAUAGACAUCUUUGUUUUAUUCACCAGGAAGCCUCGAAAGAACAUGAACGACAGUCCCCAAACUGUUGUAGUUUAAAAUAGGAGAAGAAACAUGUAAAACAGAAAAACCACAACAAUCUUUAACCCUUCAACGGAAAGGGGAGGCAACUGCCUUAGUCUGCGCUUUCCCCUCUUUCCCGCACAACAGAAAUGGUGGAGGCAAGUGGAAAGAUCCACGGUACCCGUAAAGCGAGUAGUUUCCCGAAGAAUAGUGUAUUUGAAAUUCGAAAAGAAAAUAAGUGUGUUAAAUAUAUUCUAUAGGAGAAAGUAGAAAAGAACGGAGAAAGGAGAAUAGGAGAAAGGAACAGGAGAAAGGAGAACAAAGAACGGAGAAGGAGAAUCGAAAAAGAAAAUGGAGAAAGGAACAAGAGAAUGGAAAAGGAGCAUGCAGAACGGAGAAAGGAAAAAGAAGUACGCAGAAUGGAGAACGUAGAAAUGUGGAACAUUGCGGAGCUUAAUUUGGACACUGAUUCUGAACAGUGGGAUUUAAAAUGGACUAUAUUGUUUCACUCUUUGUGUAUAUAUUGUAUAUAUGUUCUAUUGUUAAAAAAAUGGUUCUUUAAAUAGCAAGUAAGUUAAAGAUCAUGUUAAAAUAAAAGAAAUAGGGAAAAAAGUUUAAAAUAAAAGUUAAAAUAGAUUAAAUAAUGAGUAGGAAAAAAAAAGAUAAGAUAAGAUAUAAAUAAUAAGUUAAAGUAAAAAAAAAUCUAUGUAGGAAUUAGGUUAAAUUGAAAAUGAGUCAUUGAUAAACUAAAUUUGAAAAAGAAAUGUCUAAAUUGAGAUAAACGGAAUAUGACUUACUAUUUAUUCAAGUGCAAAAAUAUAUAAAAAAAAAUAUUGAUAAAAAAUAUUUAAUUUGGAAGACUGUAAAUGGCAAAUAAGAAACUAAAAUGAUGAUGACUGAUUUAAAAGAAAACAAAGAAAUAUGAGAUGAGAAGUAAAAUAUUUAUAUAUAGUUUACUAAAUAGAAAAUUCAAAAAGUAACAUAGAAAUGUCAUAUCUGAGAAGUUAACGUUCAGGCGAUUCAAAUUCAUUUAACGUAAAAGAGUAGAAAGAAAUACCCUUGUUUAUAUGAGAAUCAUAAAAAUAAUGCUUAAAACUUUAACCUUCAAAGAUAAAAGUACAUAAAAAGAAUCUGUAAAAAGAGGUUGGUUGUUUAAAGAUUUAAAAAAAAGAAGAGAAAAUGUCGAGAUACGACAGUGUCCUAUAAGGAAUAAAUAUAGAUGAAUAAAUAAGCGAAAUUUAAAGAGAAAUGCACGUGUAAAAAAGAAUAAAAUGUUGGUUGAUUAUGAAAGUUUUUAAUGGUUUAAUAGCGAUUACGAUAAAGUGUUGAGAAACAUAUGUUUUAAGGUUCCCGUAUGUAAGAAUUUAAUGUUAGUUUAAUCAUAAGAAUUAGAUGUCAGGAUCAGACCUAAUUUAGUGCUAAAUGUGUUGACCUAGCUAGUCAUCAUGUAAAACCUUGAUUAUAGCGAACAUAAUGUAUUCUAGCAUAAGCAAAUCGUUAACCAUAGUGUAAAAUCUUAACUGUAAUCAAAUGUUUUAGAAAACUAUCCAUUGUACAAACAACAA